GACGAACGCUGGCGGCGUGCUUAACACAUGCAAGUCGAACGGAAAGGCCCUGCUUUUGUGGGGUGCUCGAGUGGCGAACGGGUGAGUAACACGUGAGUAACCUGCCCUUGACUUUGGGAUAACUUCAGGAAACUGGGGCUAAUACCGGAUAGGAGCUCCUGCUGCAUGGUGGGGGUUGGAAAGUUUCGGCGGUUGGGGAUGGACUCGCGGCUUAUCAGCUUGUUGGUGGGGUAGUGGCUUACCAAGGCUUUGACGGGUAGCCGGCCUGAGAGGGUGACCGGCCACAAUGGGAAUGGGAUACGGCCCAGGCUCCUACGGGAGGCAGCAGUGGGGAAUAUUGCACAAUGGGCGGAAGCCUGAUGCAGCAACGCCGCGUGCGGGAUGACGGCCUUCGGGUUGUAAACCGCUUUCGCCUGUGACGAAGCGUGAGUGACGGUAAUGGGUAAAGAAGCACCGGCUAACUACGUG
This 468-nucleotide ribosomal RNA is filed under the name uncultured bacterium. RNAcentral's name for it is "partial 16S ribosomal RNA". It matches the Rfam family "Bacterial small subunit ribosomal RNA", at positions 28 to 507 of the family's 1533-position model. The record is from RNAcentral.